UAAAUUAUUAAAUUAUUAUUUUAAUUAUUUUAAUCAUUUUAUAAAAAAUAAUUUUUUAUUUUAGUAAAUCUUAUUGAAAAAAUUAAUUUAUUUAUAAUUUAUUCUACUGUAAAGGUUAUUUUUAAAUUUGAAAAAAGUACUUUUUAUUUAAGGUACCUUUUGUAUCAGGGUUGAUUAAUUUUUAUUAUUUAUAUAAUUUUCCCGAAACUAAAAGAUUUAAAUUAUUAUGAUAUUUAAUGUUUCAAAAUUAUUAUUAAUAAUAAUUUGGGUGUGAGAUACAAUUCAUUUUUAGUAUAUCUGGUUAUUUAAUAGAUAAAUUUAAUUUAGGAAUGUGUUAUUUAAUUAUUGAUUUAAUUAUAUUUAUUUAUACAUUCUAAUAUUGUUGGGGAUAAGCUCGACUUUAUUUCUAAAAAUAUUGUUUUAUAAAAAUUUAUGUAGGGUUAAUAAUACCCAUCAUUUAUUUCGUUAUAGUUAAUUUUUUAAUUAAUUUUAUUUUAUUAUUUUUAGAAUUUUAUUAUAUUGAUUGUUUUAAUUUUUUAAACAAUUUAAUAAUGAUUAAAUUAGUAUUUAUUUAAUUUAAAGUAUAGUAAUUCGGCAAAUAUUAUUCUCGCCUGUUUAACAAAAACAUGUCCUUUUGAUUUUAAUAUGAGGUCGGGCCUGCCCAAUGAUUUUAUUUAAUGGCCGCAGUAUCCUAACUGUGCAAAGGUAGCAUAAUCAUUUGUCUUUUAAUUGAAGGCUGGUAUGAAUGGUUUGACGAAGAAUAAACUUUCUUUACUUUAUAUUAUUGAAUUUAAUUUUUAAGUUAAAAAGCUUAAAUUUUUUUGUAGGACGAGAAGACCCUAUAGAGCUUUAUAAAGAAUUUUUUAUUUUAUUUUUGGAUUUUUAUUUUUUAAAAAAAAGUUUUUUAUUUCGUUGGGGUGACGUGUAAAACUAUUUAACUUUCCAUUAUUUGUUCAUAAAUUUAUGUUUAUUUGAUCCAUUAUUAUUGAUUAUAAGAUUAAGCUACCUUAGGGAUAACAGCGUAAUUCUUUUGGAGAGUUCUUAUCGAUAAGAGAGUUUGCGACCUCGAUGUUGGAUUAAAAUUAGUAUUAGGUGUAGCAGCUUGAUUACUAGGUCUGUUCGACCUUUAAAUUUUUACAUGAUCUGAGUUCAGACCGGCGUGAGCCAGGUUGGUUUCUAUCCUCAAUUAUAUAUGAGUAUCUUAGUACGAAAGGGCCAGAUGCACAAAAUAAUUUUUAAUUUUUGAUUAAUAUUA
Molecule: ribosomal RNA, 1255 nt
Filed under: Saldula burmanica
Lineage: Eukaryota; Metazoa; Arthropoda; Insecta; Hemiptera; Saldidae
Description: 16S ribosomal RNA
Rfam family: Archaeal large subunit ribosomal RNA (bases 822-1186)
Source: RNAcentral